Molecule: long non-coding RNA, 1841 nt
Organism: Oncorhynchus masou masou (cherry salmon)
Lineage: Eukaryota; Metazoa; Chordata; Actinopteri; Salmoniformes; Salmonidae
Exons: 2
Source: RefSeq, a predicted model, not a curated record
GCUGCAGCUAGCUAGCACUGCAGUGUAUAAAAUGUGGUGAGUCGUUGACUCAAAGAGAAAGACAAUAGUUGAACAGUUUUGCAUUUUUUUUCUUCCCAAAAAAAUGUCAAAUUCACUUAGUUUCACUUACUUAGCUAGCAAAUGCAGCUAGCUAGUUUAGCCUACUGAAACACCCUGCUCAAACAGAGGUAAUGCUAUGACUUUCCAACACAACACUGAAACUCUUCCAAGUCAAGAACAAGAAGGGCUGUGAGCAGAGUCAGAAGCACGGUGAUGGGGACCAGGAGGAUGGCCACGAACAGGAAAACUGGUUCAGGAAGCACCUUCUCUACUUAUGAAAAACACAAGAGGAACAGAUAGGGGUGGCGUCAGUCAUUGAGUGGUAUUGCAGAUACGGAGAGAGAGAGCUACAUUUCAUUGCUAUGCACCGACCCAAAUGGCUGUAUACUGUAUGAUAAACCUGGAUUUAAGUCGACUUGGCAGUCUUCAGUAGAUGUGACACACUGUAACUGUACGGUCUGUGUACGUAAUGACAAAACACUACCUGGCGUCUCAAGCGGCUGUUCGAAGGGCUGGCUCAUUAUCAUAGUGGAGCCCAGGUGGAUUUGACACUCAUAAUUCUUUCCCUUCUCCAAGGGGAGGAUCACAGACAGGGUAACAGGCAGUGACAUGCUGGGGUGAAGAGGAUCAAUGGUCUUUUGGAAUACUUUAGAUCCGUCUUGUAGCAAGGAUAAGAAAAACCCAUCAUCCCGGGAAACAUUCACAGCACACAUGAGUUGGGUCUCAUUCUCAGGGUCAAGCCCAAAGUACAUCAAAUCUGUUUUAGACACACAGAAAGACACACACAUUUGUAUCAUAACAUGGUCUGGUAUAGGAAAUGAAAAGCGGCAAUUAGUGGACAACAUGACAAAAGCAUAGAAAUUGUAUCAUUACCAUGUAUCAACAGCUUAACGCCGCUCCCUUUCGUCCUCUUAUCUUGUUUGGCGGCCCUAUAAGACAGUUUACACUCAUACUUUCCACUGCUAUCCUCCCACUGGACAUUCUUCAGAAGUACAGAUCUGUUCGGUGAGUUGCGGUCACUGUCCAGAACCUCCACACGACCCUUGUACGGUGACUCUGGAUCAGGCCACAGUCUUGUCAUUUGAGUCAAACUUGUAAUUUUAUGCCAGUAGAGAAUGGGAUUCUUUGCCACCUGCUGGUCUGGAGUGUGGAUGAAGUGGCAGUCCAUUGAGGCAUUCUGAGACAGUUUAUACACAACCUCAUCAGGUUUCUGGGUAACUGUCUGGGCCCAGGCUCCUGAGAAAGAAAGUGUAUAUGGAGGCUCUAUGAUGAGUCUGAAAUUAUUGGAAGCCUUGAUAAAGAUGAGCAAAAAAGACUGCAUCAUACAAAUAUUGAGAUUUAUUGUAUACUCCAAAAAAAUGGGAAAUUAUAUUAUGUCAUGCUAAUACAAUUUCUCAGAGAAAAAAUAUUUUAUUUAACUUCUUAUGGCUGCAGGGGCAGUAUUGAGAAGCUUGGAUGAAAGGUGCUGUCACACCCUGACCAUAGUUUGUUUUGUAUGUUUCUAUGUUUUGUUUGGUCAGGGUGUGAUCUGAGUGGGCAUUCUAUGUUGUGUGUCUAGUUUGUCUGUUUCUGUGUUUGGCCUGAUAUGGUUCUCAAUCAGAGGCAGGUGUUAGUCAUUGUCUCUGAUUGGGAACCAUAUUUAGGUAGCCUGUUUGGUGUUGGGGUUUGUGGGUGAUUGUUCCUGUCUCUGCACCAGAUAGGGCUCUUUUGGUUUUUCACAUUUCUUGGUUUUGUUAGUCUAUUCAUGUAUAGUUUCUUUAUUAAAGAACCAUGAAUAAUAA